AACGAACGCUGGCGGCAUGCCUAACACAUGUAAGUCGAACGAGACCUUCGGGUCUAGUGGCGCACGGGUGCGUAACGCGUGGGAACCUGCCCUUAGGUUCGGAAUAACUCCCCGAAAGGGGUGCUAAUACCGGAUAAUGUCUUCGGACCAAAGAUUUAUCGCCUUUGGAUGGGCCCGCGUUGGAUUAGCUAGUUGGUAGGGUAAAAGCCUACCAAGGCGACGAUCCAUAGCUGGUCUGAGAGGAUGAUCAGCCACACUGGGAAUGAGACACGGCCCAGACUCCUACGGGAGGCAGCAGUGGGGAAUAUUGGACAAUGGGCGAAAGCCUGAUCCAGCAAUGCCGCGUGAGUGAUGAAGGCCUUAGGGUUGUAAAGCUCUUUUACCCGGGAUGAUAAUGACAGUACCGGGAGAAUAAGCGCCGGCUAACUCCGUG
This 433-nucleotide ribosomal RNA is filed under the name uncultured bacterium. Its description in RNAcentral is "partial 16S ribosomal RNA". It matches the Rfam family "Bacterial small subunit ribosomal RNA", at positions 29 to 507 of the family's 1533-position model. The record is from RNAcentral.